This 30803-nucleotide long non-coding RNA is filed under the name Ricinus communis (castor bean). RNAcentral's name for it is "long non-coding RNA (RCOM_LNC001537)". Lineage: Eukaryota; Viridiplantae; Streptophyta; Magnoliopsida; Malpighiales; Euphorbiaceae. The record is from RNAcentral.
AGAACAAACAAAGUUGUGCAAUUGGAGGGUACCAAAUACCAGCCAAAGCCAGGAUGAUUGUAAAUGCCUAUGCAAUCGGUCGAGAUCCCAAGACCUGGCGUGACGCUGACAAGUUCAUACCUGAGAGAUUCUUGGACGCUGCAGUCGAUUUUAUAGGGAUGGAUUUUGAAUACAUCCCAUUUGGAGGUGGAAGGAGGAUAUGUCCAGGCAUGAAUUUAGGUAUGGCCAAUAUGCAGCUACCUUUAGCCCAAUUACUCUACCAUUUUGACUGGAAGCUACCAGAUGGGGUCGCACCAGAAGAUUUAGACAUGACUGAAACUUUUGGAGCCACCAUUACAAGAAAGAAUAAGUUGCACGUGAUCCCCACCCGUUACCAGCCCUUGCAGGGUAACCAACAGAGAGAAGCCAUAGAAUUUGUCAAUUAAAUGAUCCCGUCCUCGAUAUAGAACAGCAUAUUGGAUACAACUUCUUUCCAUCUUCUGUUUAAAUGUUUGUUUUAGUGAUUUUGUCCUGUCUCAUGUGUCAUAUGCUGUUGUAUUGUGGAUCUUGGAUUUCUUUUUUUUUCUUUUUUCUUUUUUUCGUUUUUGAACUGCUAAUAGCAAGGAUUUCAUUACGAAUGAAUAUAACCAAAAUACAAAGCCCUCUCCAGGCUUGGAGGAGGAUUAACCAACCAGUUAGGGGGACGAAAAUUAGACAAAGCAAACUUUGCUAAACUGUCAGCAGCUCUAUUCACAUCUCUCCUCACCACUGAGACUGAUGCUUGAGCAAAAGAUGUUAAUCCCUCUUGAAUAUCAGGCACUAUAGCCUCUACAUCCCAACUAAUGUUCACAGCACGAUUAACCAUUUCCACUAAAGCUGCUGAGUCUGUCUGAAAAGAAACAACAUGACCUUUUUUAAUUGCUAAACGGAUAGCCUCCUUCAAACCCAAGGUCUCCCCAAAAUAACGGAAAAACAGUCAAAUUUCAUAACCUUACCCGAGAUUAAUUUUCUACGACUGUCCCUGGCGAUGACUCCUAAACAUGCCAAUUGCGAGUUAGUAUUCCAGGCCAUAUCAGAAUUGUAUUUGAUUGUACCCAGGGCUGGACACUGCCAUCUCAUCGCCUCUUGGCCACCAGAGGGGGGCUCGCUCAAUAAUCUGGAAUUAUGACUGCUCAAAGAGUCGCACUCAAAAGAAAAAGCUUGGUAUUUUUUCCAAGUAUCCGGAGGAUCAGGCAUAACCCCAUUGAAAACGGCUGAGUUACGAGCUUUCCAAAUAAACCAAGAUUGCCACAACCGACUCUCUUUCAGCUCCUGCAAACUCCUUAAAGAUAGCAUGCCACCAUCUUAGAAAGAAGAGAAGCCCAAAAGGGAAGGAGAGUACCUCAAAUAGCUGAGAAACCAUGUAGCUUUUGCAUGUGAACAGAAAAACACAGCAUGUUCUACCGACUCCUCUUGAACUUCACAAAUAGCACACAGGGGCGAGGAUACAACCUUACGCUGAAACAAAUUACUUUGAGUUGGAAGGGCAUCCGUGGCUAUCCUCCAUAAGAAGUUCUGAACCUUUGGGAUUGUUCGAAUCUCCAAAAGCUUCCCCAACACUUCUCAAGAUACGCUUCAUUAUCCACAAAAGAAAUCCGAGGAUGUGGGCUUGAACCUUCUUGCUUGAGCAUCAGGAAAUGGUACCCAGAUUUUACAGAAUAAGAGCCGUUCCUAUUCGCAGGCCAAAUUAACUUAUCUUUUGAAUAGAAGCCAAAGGGAAUUCUUUAAUAUAGCCUUGGAUUCCUGAGAGUUAAAAAGACUCCUAACCAGCCUCGAAUUCCAACACCUUAGAUCUUGGUCAAUAAGAUCCCUAACUAAAAACACAUCCGAAGGAUUAGGAGGCAAAAAAAGACACUUUAAACCUGGGAUAGUUGGGUAUCCAUGCAUCACUCCACACCAGAAUUUUUCCCCGUUACCCACAUUCCACCUAAUACCUUGUCUAAUGGCAUCCCUACCAAGAAUGAGACUACAUCAUAUCCAAGACGGACACCUACCUAGUUCUGCUGACCAGAAAUUUCCAGAGGGGAAAUAAACAUGCUUUAGCACCUGAGCCCAAAGAGUUGAGGGGUUCUCAAUGAGCCUCUAGACCUGCUUACCCAACAUCGCCAAAUUAAAAAUCUCCAGAUCUCUGAAACCCAUCCCCCCACAAAACAUAGCUCUAGACAGCCUGCUCCAACUCAACCAAUACACUCCCCUUUUUGAAAUGUCAUUCUUCCACCGAAACCUUGCCAGAAUACUGUUAAUUGAGGCACAAAAACUCUUUGGAAAUUUGAAAACAGCCAUAGCAUAUGAUGGAAUUGCAGUGAGGACGGCUUUCAGGAGGAUUUCUCGGCCAAAGUAAGAUAGUAAAUUAGUAUUCCAACCUGCUGCUUUCUCAGAGAUUUUAUUCAUGAGGAAUUGAAGCGCUUUAGUUUUUCCCUUACCCUACCAAGUAGGCAGACCAAGAUAGCUCUCUCCUUCAGUCAUAGUUGUAUCGUGGAUCUUGUUGUCUUUAGUACAAGGCAAAAUGUCAUCUACCUUUUGCAUUAUUAUUGAUUAGCAAAUAAAGUUACUUGUAAUUUUAUUAGGUUAAAUAUUCAAAACUUUAGAAUUUUAUUAAGCUACUUUCUUUCUAAAGUCUCGGGAGAUCGAGGACGGACAAAUUUCAUUUAAAGUUGAGAAUAAUUGAAUUAAAAUUAUUUUUCUAUAAUCAAUUUGAACUCAAUUGACAAAAAAAAUUAAAUUUAAAAGGCGAAACAAAAGUUUUACAAGUUCAAGAACUAAAAUAUAAACUUUUUGCAGAACUAUUUUUGUCCUCCUAAUCCAAUCGACUCUGCAUGUAGUUGAAUAGACUUUGUGUAGAAUCGAUCGACUCCACACAGUGCUGAUUGACUUAUUUUUCAAUUUUGAUACAAUUUUAUAUAUAUUCUGAUUUAAAAACGCUAAAAUUAAUACAAGAAGAUUUUAUAAAAAAUAUUUAGUGAUAAUUAUUAAAUUUUAUUAGUAAUUAUUUGAAUUUAAUUAAAUUGUAAAUAAAUAUUCAUUUAACUAAAUUUUUGGUAAAAUCAAAGGACUUAAUUAAUUAUUAAUAUUUAUUUAAUACAUCUAGAAUUUUCUAAAAUUUUAAAGUAUAAAUAUGUUAUUAAGUCUUAAGUCUAGGGUUGGUUACACUAAUUAAUUACUACUGUUAUGUUAAUUAAUAAAAAAUUUAAGAAAUAGAGAGAGAAAUCAAUUAAAUGAUCUCAUCCUCGAUAUAUAACAUCAUAAUAUAUAACAUCAUAUUGGACACAACUUCUUUCCAUCUUUUCUUUAAUGUUUGUUUUAGUGACUCUCGUUUCAUGUGUCAUAUGCUGCUGUAGUAUCGUGGAUAUUAGUUUUAUUUAAGGGAAAACAAUCCUAGAUACAUCGAUCUUUAACCAUUUUAUCAAAUCUACCCUCACCUUUAAAACAUAUUAAUUUGGUCCACCAUGUUUGCGUCUUGUAUCAUUCCUACCCACCCGUGUUUUGGUGUGUGCCACUAAUAACAUGGGGUCCACACGUUGCUCUAGUUUGUCUACGUGGAUAUUAGUUUUUUUUUUCUCCAAUUUUUUCUCCAAUUCUAUCCCCAAUUCUAAUUUCUAGGGUUUCUAAUUUUUACCCGUUUCGUCCAUACAUAUAGCCUCAUUUCGCCCAUUUCGCUCUAUUAUCUUUGUCCCUUCUCCUGUGGUCCAUUAUUAUUGAAGCUCGUGCCUGUGGUCCCCCACAAGAUGGCUCCUUCCAGAAAACGAUAACGAGGGUAUGUAUUUAUUAAUACAUUGAAUGGAUAAAGCAAUGCAAGUGGUGGGGAAUCUUAUUGUCGUGGGUAUAACAUUGUACGGAAAAUGCAUUUGUUAUCACUAUAACCUUUGAGCACUUGCAUUUUUUUAUUACUACAUGCAUUUGCAUUUGUUAUUACUACAUGCAUUUGCAUUUGUUAUUACUAGAAAGUGGCAUUUGUAUUGUUGCAUUACUAAUAUAAUUGUUGUGUGUAUAUUUCUGCAGUAUUUCUAUUGAAUUUCAUCAUGGUGGGGCAUUAAUUAGUAAUCCUAUAGUCAACUAUGUUGGUGGAUGUUUUGUAAAUCUUAGUGGCAUUUCUAGUUUCACUAUGGAUGAUAAUGAGGAGAUAGUGAAAAUAUUAGGAUAUACACAUUUCUUAAGUGUUGCCUAUGAACCCCCUAGGAGAUGGAACCCUAUAGGGAAUGAACUAGGCUUAGUUUUGGUUGAGACUGAGGAAGAGUGCAAAAAGAUGUUUGCAGAAGGUUUAGAGUAUGACUUUUUAAAAGUUUAUGCUGAAGUUGUAACAAUUACUCCAAAUUGUGGGCAAACUAUAACUGAAAAUGAGAAUCAACAUCAUAACGACAAUGCAGAUGAACCAUUGACUGUAGUUGAAUUUGAAAAUGCAAAUCAAAAUGAAACUGAACCUGAAAGUGUUGUAAAUAAAGGAAAAAAUCAAGUAGAACCUGAAUGUGUGAACAAUGUUGAUGACUAUGUUGGAUCUAGUGAGGAUGAAGAUUAUACCCCUGAAAAUGAUGAAUGUGAUGAUGAGGAUAGCCUAUCUUCUGAUGUUUCUGACUCAGAUGUGGAUGAGGAAUAUGUGACUGCAAAACAGAAUCUGAAGGACUUUAGCAAGACUGUAGUUGACAAUGGAUUUGGUUUAGAAUUGGAUAGGGACCAAGGGAGAGAUGACACUGGGUUUGUGGGGGCUAGUAGCAAUACUAGAGUGGAUGGCAAUAUGAGUGAUAAUAGUAGUGAGUGCCAUUUUGAGUACCCUGACAGUGAUGCUAAGGUUGAUACUCCUGUUUCAAGUGAUGAGAAUGAUUGUGGUUUUAGCAAAAAAAAGAAGGAGAAAAAAAUAAUUUACAAUCCUAAGUGUAAUCAUCAAGAGUUAAAGUUUGUAGCAGGAAUGAAAUUCACAAAUGUAAAACAAUUUAGAGGAGCAGUACAGAAUUAUGCUAUUGCAAAUGGGUAUGAUGUAUGGUGGAAAAGGACUAGAGAAGAUAGGAUGGAAGCACAAUGUAAAGGAAACUGCAGUUGGAGAGUGUAUGCUUCAAAAGUUCCAAAUGAGAGGACAUUCAUGGUUAAGACUGUUAAACCUAACCAUAACUGUGCUAGGGUGUAAAGAAAUAAUUUGGCAACUACAAAGUGGCUGGGUGAUGAGUUUUUAAAUGAAUUUAGAAAGAAACCAAAUUAUUCUGUAGCUGAAAUGGAAUCUGAUUUGAUGACAAAAUAUGCACUAAAGGUCUCAAAAUGCUCAUGUUAUAGGGCAAAAAAGCUAGCUUUAAUGAAGCUUAGAGGAUCAAUAGAGGCUCAUUAUGCCAAGUUGAGAUCCUAUGUGCAUGAAUUGAAGAGAGUUAUAGAGAAUGAUGUUUUGACCUAGAAUGCAAUAUAGAAGGGGAUAAUUCUGUUUUUCAAGGAUUAUACAGAUGUUUUAGUGGAUUAAGGAAGGGUUUUAUGGAAGGUUGUAGACUGUCAUAUCCCUAGAUGGUGCAUUUCUGAAGAAUAUACUUGGGGGUGCAAUUUUAAGUGCAAUUGGUUAUGAUGGUAAUAACCAAAUGUACCCCAUUGCUUAGGCAGUGGUGUUGGCUGAGAAUGAAAACACUUGGAGAUGGUUCCUAAGCAGAUUUUUUAAUGACUUGUCCAUUGACACAGGCAUAGGAUGGACCUUCAUAAAUGACCAACAAAAGGUUUGUUUAUUGCUUAUUUUUUCUUAUACUUGAAUCAGUUAAUAGUUAAAUUACUUAUAUGCAAUUUGUUUUGUUGAUGCUUAUAGGGCCUUAUUAAAGUAUUACAAGAGUAUGUCCCACAUGCUGAAAUAAGAAAUUGUUCAAGACAUAUUUAUGCAAAUUGGAAGAAAUUGCAUAAUGGAAUUGAACUGAAAUAACUAUUUUGGAAAAUUGUAUACAGUACAUAUGAAGCACAAUUUCUGGCUAACUUGAAGGAACUUAGAGAAGUUGAUCCUGAGGCAGAAAAUGGAUUUGUUUCCAGGGAUCCAAAACUCUUCUGUAAAGCAUACAUAUCACACUCUCCCUAAGUGUGACAAUGUUGACAACAACAUUGUUGAGACUUUUAAUGGAUGGAUAUACAAAACAAGGUUGCUGCAUAUUAUUGACAUGUUGAAAGAGAUUAGGGGUGCUUUGAUAGAAAGGAUUAAAAUGAAGUAUGACAUGGUGAAAAAUAGUAUGGAUGAAUUGUGCCCAAGGAUUAGAAAGAAGAUUGAGAAGUUAAAGUGGAAAACCAGAUUCUGUAUCCCAAAGGUAGCUUUGAAUGACAAAUUUCAGGUUAAAAUAUUUGAUGAUUAGUUUGUGGUGUCUAUACAGGAGUUGCACAUGCAGAGCUUGGCAACUGACUGGAAUUCCUUGCAUUCAUACAAUUUUCAGUAUUCAUUGGUUGAGGCAGAAUGUGGAUGACUAUGUUGAUGAAUGCUAUAAGAAGGACAUGUACUUACAAGCCUAUUAGUAUGCCCUUGAACCAUUAAAUGGCCAGAAGAUGUGGCAUGAGAUCACUGAGGCACCAGUGCAUCCACCACCAUUUAAAAAGAUGCCAGGAAGACCUAAGGUGAACAAAAAGAAAGUUGUUGAUGAAAAAGAAAGGGAUCCAAAUAAAUUAAGUAGAAAUAGAAUAAGGAUGCAGUGUAGAAUUUGCAAUGCAUAUGGACAUAAUAAAAGAGGGUGCCCAAGAAAGGAUAAUCCACCUGCAUCUAAAGAUAUUCUAGACAAUCAAGUAUAAUUUUUUUGUUAGAGCUGUCAUAUCACAAAUUAAGUAGUAUGUUCAUUCAAGAAUUUUCUACUUAUAACAGAGAAGUAGAAGGAGAAGUAGAUACCCAGCAGCUCCUACAAGUAAUGUUACCAAUAUUGAUGUACCAAAUCAGACUACAGUUGAAAAUGUAGAAGCUGGUCCUUCACAAUCCAAACCACCAUAUGAUAAGAGAAUAAUUGUCAAAGAAAGAAUUCAGUUAUUGUUCAUAACUUAGUUCUAUGUGAAUUAUACUUAGUAAUCCUAUGAGUUAUGUGUUGUUGUACUGCAGGCUAGAAAAGGAUAUGGCCUGCACAUAUCUACAGAGACUGGUAAUAUGUAUUUAAGAGUACGUACUCAACAUGUCAGAUGUGAAUCUCUAAUUUUGUGUGUUUUCAUAUGUUUCAUGUUCUAAAUAUAAAAUGUCAUAAUGCAGAUGCCAGGGAAAAGGAAUGUGAGGACUGUUAGUGGUUAUACAGAAACAGCAACAGCAGCAAGGCAAUCCAGAAAAAGGUAUGACACCCAAAGAUCAACUACAGCUACAAAGGAACAAAGAUCAACUACAGCUACUCAUGUACAAAGUGUGAAAGUUUGUAGCCAAACUUCAACAGCUAUAAAGGCAAAAGAGAAGGUGGUAGCUAGUUCCAAAGGCAAAGAUAAGGUGGUAACUAGUUCGAAAGGCAAAUAGAAGUUGGUACCUACAAAGACAAGACUAGUAAGAAUGCAGAUUUGGUGAUUCAAGAAGGGNNNAGAAGUUGCAAUACUGUGUUUUUGUUAGAGCUUAUAAAGUUGCAUGGAAUAAAACUGUCAUUUGAACCAUAUCAAUUAGUUUGCCUUUAUAUGUAUUGUUUUAUGUGUUUGUCUUUUUCAAGACAUAUGUUUAAUGUACCUUAUGAUUUUUGUAAGGAUUCUAUAUUAUAGUAAUGUUAAAAGGCUGUUUAAUGCCUAUUUUAUCUGUCCAAAUGUGAAUCUGUCAUAUUAACUAUAGGUUCAUUUUACUUCAUCAAAUCCAAAAGGAAUACAUGCAAAAUAUCUUAACAGAAAAAUAAGAGCUUCAUUGCAUAAUCAAUUAUAAAAGUUGGUAAUUAAAUUCACCAUUGAUUACAAGAUUCAACCCCACCCAUCUACUACAAAACCAAAUCCUACACCUUGCUACAUCAACUAUAAAGCUUGUCUGGCAGUGCAACUCCUAUCUAGCAGAAACAGGCACAAAGUUUGAUUGGAGAGUAACAAACGUUCAUUACCAUGUUCAACCAUACCAUAGAAACCAAAAGCUUUUCAAUCAUUCAUUAAACUUCCCUUCAUCAAACUUCCCUUAAUUAAACUUGGAAAGUAACUUCACUUAAUCAUUCAUUACAAUAUUCAACCAUACCACAGAAACUGAACUUGGAAAGUAACAAACGUUCCUUCAUAUUUUAUACAAUCAUGUAAGAGCAUAGCUCCACCCCAAUCGUCAAACUUCUUCUCAUCAGUGUAAGAGUUUAGCUCUGCCCCAAUCCUCAAACUUCUUCUCAUUCACCCAAUCGUCAUGAUAAGAGCACAGCUCCGCCUCUAAAUGACCAAAUUGAAACGAAAGCAUCAUUUUCCUUAGACAAGCUAAAGAAAUGGGUUAUGGAAGUUAUUAGUUGUAUUGUAAUUAGAAACCCUAGAAAUUAGAAUUGGGAAAAAAAUUGGGGAAGUAAUAGGGACGAAAUGGUGAGUUUUGAGGCACUUCUAUGUCCUCAGCCACGUAGACAAAGCAGAGCAACGUGUGGAUGCCAUGUCAUUAGUGGCACACACCAAAACACGGGUGGGUAGGAAUGAUACAAGACGCAAACAUGAUGGACCAAAUUGAUAUGUUUUAAAGGUGAGAAUAGAUUUGAGAAAAUGGUUAAAGAUCGGGGUAUCUAGGAUCGUUUCCCCUUUAUUUAAUGGGAUAAGUAAAAGGAAAAAUAUCUAGAUUAUGAAUAUCUCUUUUUAUACAUUAAAUAAUUGAUAUAAUCUAAUAAUUUUAAAUAAUUAUUAAAUAUUAAUCAUUCGAUACUAAUAUAAACUACAUAUAUAGUCAACCCUCUAAUAAUAAAUAUACUUGGUAAAUUAAAGAUUAUUAAUUAUUAGAAUAUUAAUUUAUUAAAUUUAUAAUUAUUGAAAAAAAAUUAAAAGUUUCAAUGCACCUUAUUAUAUUUUUAAUUAUGUUUUUUCUAUUAAUAAAAGUUUAAGAAAAAAAAUUAAAACUAUUAAUAAAUAUUGAGAUAAAAGUAAAAUAAAGAGCAAAAUACGAAGAGUCCAUUAAAUUUAAAUAAAAAAAUUCUUUUUAUAUUUAAAUAUUCUUUAAAAUAAUUUUCAAAUGAGUCCUUUAAAAUAAAUAGUACUAUUAAGGAUGCUCUUAUGUUUAAUUUGAAUAUAAUCUAUUAUAGUUGUAAGCUUUAACUUUAUUUUUAAAUCGAAUGGUCAUAAUACCAAUUAAAAUCUAAAUUUAAAUUUUAAAAUAUAAUAAUUAUUUAUUAGAUAAUAGAUUUCAACCAUUGAUUUUGAAUCCAAGAUUACAUAAAUAGGAUCUUUCAAUAUAUAUUAAAAAGUGUUGGCAAUAAUAAAAUAGAAAACCUCUGGUAGCCACUGUCUGGAGGAAGAAGAUCUUAUUGAUCAUAGUACCAAGAAGAUUAAGAGACAGUUUAUGGAUAUUGCAAUGCGUUAGUCAAGUCCUUGAGACAAAUAUGGAGGGGGUUGGCCAUAGAAAAGAAACAAUGAGUCCUAAGGUUUCUUUUAGAGAAAAGUUAUUAAGUUUGUCGCCUGGGUAUGGGAAUGAUGAGGAUGAUUUUAUUUCGGAUGAUGAAAAUGAUCUGGUUAAAUGAUUCUGAUAAUGUGAAAUGCCCUUUAGUCACAGUUCUUAAAUAAAAAAAAGCCCGGUUGCACUAUCCUUGGAGAUUGACCCUAAUUAUUAAAUUAUUAUGGCAUAAGGUUGGAUACAAAUAUUUUCAGAGAUGCAUUCGUGAGUUAUGGAGGCCUAAGGCUGCUAUGGAUCUAGUUUUUAUUGAGAGACAGUUUAUGGAUAUUGCAAUGCCUUAGUCAAGUCCUUGAGACAAAUAUGGAGGGGGUUGGCCAUAAAAAAGAAACAAUGAGUCCUAAGGUUUCUUUUAGAGAAAAGUUAUUAGAUUUGUCGCUUGGGUCUGGGAAUGAUGAGGAUGAUUUUAUUUCAGAUGAUGAAGAUGAUUUGGUUAAAUGAUUAUGAUAAUGUAAAAUUCCCUUUAGUCAUAGUUCCUAAUAAAAAAAGCUCGGUUGCAUCAUUCUUGGAGAUUGAAUCUAAUUAUUAGAUUAUUACGGCACAAGGUUGGAUACAAAUAUUUUGAGAGAUGAAUUCGUGAGUUAUGGAGGCCUAAGGCUAUUAUAGGUCUAGUUUUUAUUGAGAAUGGUUUUCUUCUUAUAAAAAUUUCAUCUUGGGUUGAUUUUAAUUAUGCAUUAUUUGAAGUACAUUAGAUAACUAUUGACCAUUACUUAACAUUUUGGAGAUGGAGCCAUGACAUCAAUCUUGAGAAGCAAAACUGAUUCUAUAUGGCUUGGGUUCGAUUUCCUUUCUACCUAUUGAGUACUAUAAUGAACAGUUUCUUAUCAUUGACAAAAAGAUUAGGAAGCCAAUCGAAAUGAAUACUAAUACUUGUGAGGUUUCCAGAGUUAAAUUUACGUGUAUGUGUAUGGAGUUAGACCUUAACAAACCUCUACUUUCAAAGUUCAAGUUGAGAAGACGAGUACGUAGAAUUGAAUAUGAAGGAACACACCUAAUUUGUUUUGAGUGCAUCAAGUUUGGGCAUUUAAAAAAACAUGUUAGAUCUCUAAUGUGCAAAGUAAUGAUGAAAUUCAACAAAUAGAGGUUAGGCCAGCUCCUCUAUUGGAAAAUGAAGAUAAAGAAGAAAAUCUUGCAAAUCUUGAAGUAUUAGAGAACUUUGGGUCUUGGAUUACCACCCAACAAAAGUCAAAGAACAUUUGUAAGAAAUGAGGGGUCUGUUUCUUUAGGGCACUUGAGGGGCAAAGGGAGUCUAUAUAAUCGUUGUCAAAAUGAUGUUAUCGAGGGAAUGAAUAAAUCAAGAUUUGUAGUGUUGAAAGUUGGCAAUGUAGCGGCAACUUAUAUGCACAAGGAGAUGAACCAAGCUUAUGUUUCCAAUUUUGAAAAGCAAACCCUUGUAGCUCAUGGCUUAGGACAAAAAGGUCAAUCUAGUUUUGGGUCUAAGAAUAAAAGGCCCAAUGUUCAUAGGUAGAUAAUGUGGUGCUACAGGAGAUUAUUAAUAAUUAGUCUAAGGGACUAUCUAUGAGAAAAAUGCUUAUUUGACGCUGCUCGAAAAUCUCAUCAAGCAGCUACUGCUCUUGAAGACACUGUGGUACAUGGUCAGAAAGGUAAAGAAACUUUUCCUAAAAUUGUUAGUCACAAGGAGGAUUAUUCUACAACUGUGGAUAAUUAAGAGCUAUUUAUUACGGAUCACUUGGCUAAUUUCAAGUCUGAGCAAGCUUUCUCUUAUUCUUUAAAUCCUCUAAAUGUAGAGGAAUUUUUAUCAAGCGGUGAUGAUUCUACACUUGAGGAAGAGGGCCUUCUAAAAGAUGUUGAUGAUGGGAUCCUAGCAGGGGUUGACAUGAUUAUUGAAUGAGGAUAUGCCCUUUGAGUGCUUCUUCCUCUUGAGGUUUUAUGUCAUUGUUUUGUUUGUUUAUUUCCUUUUUACAUUGUUCUAAAGUGCAUUUUUUGGAAUUGCCAAGGUUUGGUAUCUAAAGCGUUUGAUCAUACCUUGAAAUUUAUAAUUCCUAUUCACAAGCCAAGUGUGUUGGGACUGUUCAAAACUAAAGCUAAUGGUAAUACAAUUAAGGAUAUUUAUAGUAGGAAUUGUUUUGAUAGUUAGGUUCAAGUUGAAGCUCUAGACUAUAGUGGAGGUAUUUGGCUUUUCUAGAAGCUUGACGUGGGUGUUUCUAUUAUCAAAAUGCAUCCCCAAUUUAUUCUCUAUUGUAUAUCUUAGAGUGCUAAUGUUUCGUGGUUAUUAUUUAUGGUGUAUGCAUGCCCGAAUGAGCAGUUUCAUUCCAAGCUGUGGAAUGAUUUAUCUCAUCAUUUCAUCGAUCUAUAUGAGCUUGGCUCGCUAUUGAAAAUUUUAAUUCGAUGCUUUCGGUUAGCAAUACUUCCAACUUUUCUUGUAGAAGAAGUGCCUAUUUUAGUAAUUAGAUUUUUGAAGAGGCCCUUAUUGAUCUAGGGUUCUUUAGAACUCCUUUUACAUGGAUAAGGCCACAAAGGUAAUCAAGUUAAGAAUGCUCAUCUUGACCGAGCUCUCUAUAAUAUCCCAUAGAAAGGACUUUUUCCAAAAUGUUAUGUCUUUUAUUUACCUCAGUGUAAUUCAGAUCACAUUCUACUCCUAUUGCCUUUGAAGCAGAUUUUUAUGUUCUUAUUUCUAGAUCGUUCAGUUUUGAGGCUGCUUGGUUUACUAGUAGUCGUUUGUGGAUGUUGUUCCUUUGGAACCAAGAAGAAGAAUUGAAUUAGUGAUCUCAAAUUACAGAAUUAAGUAGUUUUGGGUAAAACAUAAGGAAAGAAAGAUUAAGGAUGUUUUGAAGAGAGUAGGGGUUAGAGAAGAUGCCACAAAGAUUUAUAGUGGUUCGGAAACAAUCCUUCCCACAUCCACUCCUUAAAACCACACUUGAGUAUUCCACUAUAAUCUUUAAGAUUACAAUCUUUGGAUUUUGCAAGUUCACCCCACAACUUGGUGUUUUCAAGGCUAAUACUAAACCUUUUCCCUUAGUGAACCAAUAUCUUACUAAGUCCCUUAACCCUUGAGUAUUAAUGUUUACUCAACAAUCAAUUCCUUGUGUUUUUAAUACUUAGCCUCACACAAAAAUCCUUUACACUCUUUAGUUGAAACAAUAGUUUCAACUUAAUACACUUUACAAAGAAAGAAAAUGGGUGUAGAAAGUUGACAAAUGAAUUUGUAAGAGUUUUAGUAUACCUAAAUUAAAUGCUUACUUAUUGAGUCUUUAAGAGGGGUACUUAUACUCAUACCAACCUCUUGAAGGUGUUAUAAUGUGUCUGAAACUCAUUAAAUGUAAAUUGAUGACUUGGAAAAAAAUUGCCUAAAGUCUUGAAAUGCACCCCACGCUUUCCAACGGCUGCAGACACGUGGCUCUGAUGGGGUGACUGAUAUCUCAGCAGUUACUAACAUCGUAUUAAUGGUGAAAACUGCCCCCACACCAUAAUAGCACCCUCGCGCCUACCUUGUUCGCGCUCAGAAGCACCAUUGCGCUUCUUAUUGCGAUAUCGUUUGUCAUUUUCAAUCUUAAGCUCCAAUAUGAAGCGCCCCCGCACUUCUUGAAGCUUUGACACUUUGACCGCCAAGUGUCGUGUUGUGAUUGGCAGGAUCUCAGAUGGACUUUUCAACGUCUUGUAUAAUUUUGAUCAUAUGAAAAGCACCCCCGUGCUCUCGCACUUUUUGGGUCUUUUUACAAGACUUCCUCGAAAGCUUAAGAAUGCUUAUAUUUUUGGAUAGGUUCCUUUGAUGUUUUGUCAUAUAGACACUUAGACACAAGGUUAGCAAUAUUCAAUUUGGAUGUUAAGAUCAAAUAGAGAUUAAUUGUCCCUUAGGUCAACAAUCUCUCACUUUUUGAUUUUGAUAACCAAAUUAAUUAGAAAUCCAAAAUUGAUCAUGUGUAAGUGCAAUUAAAUAGUUAGUAGUUAAUAUUCAAAAGUCAAAAGAAUAAUUUACUUGAUAGAUUUACUCUCCUUCAAUAUUUUUAUUUUCUCCCCUUUAGUUUUUACAACUAAGUCAUACUUCUCCCAUUUUUAUUCUUAUAAAUCAAUUUAUGCAUACUCCUCCCCUAUACUUCCUGGAAAUCAAUUUAAACACACUUCCAUCCUAUUAUCAAAAUUAAAAAGUAAGACAAAAGAAUUAAAUGGCAAAGAAGUAGAACAUAGAAAGAUAAAAUAAGACUUGCAUUAAGUGAAACAAUUUACAUGUAUGAUCAAUAAAGAUGAAUGUAUGCAUGAGAGAAAAAAAGAAAAAAAACAAAAAUAAUUUAAGAAAAUAGAAAAUUAAUCUUUUUCUUCUUCAUCCUCUUCUUCUUCUUCCUCUUCUUGAACCAUAUGCUUCUUACCUUUCCCUAAGCCACUUCUGCUUGCUUGAGGAGAGGGAAUGAGAGCCUCUUCUUCUUUAUCCUCUUUCCAAUCUUCCAUAUGGCAAUGAGAGAUCUUGGGAACUUUUUAGAUUUUCAAUAAAUUCGCAUGCAAGUGAUAGAGAUAAUUUCAAGUCCUCUCCAUUUGCUUUACAAUCUUUUCCUUAAAAGAGAGAGAGGGUUGUCCUUAGAAAUUAGAGGGAGUAGGUUCACUUGGCAAUCUAUGAUCCUUUUUUUCCUCUUCUCUCUAUCAUCCAUAUUUCUCCUAUUAUAAGGAAGAAUUCUUCAUCAACCUCCUGUUUAGGCCUAAGUCUUAUGACUUUGGCAUGCUCAAGAAAGACUAACUUAAUAAGGGAGGUGAGAUAUGAGGAGUAAGAGAGGAUUUGUUGAGAGGAGAAAUGAAUUGAAGAUAUUUGACAAUUUUAUUAAUGUGUGAAGAGACAAGAAUGACACCUUUUUGUGUAUUGCCAAAAUGAAGAAGAUGAUUAAGGAAGAAUUUAGAAGUGAGAAUGCACUUACCAUUUAUCAUAGCAUAGAGGAAGAGAAGGUCUUUUUAUGGCACUUUUUCCACCUUAUUGUCCUUUGCAUGGAUGUUAGUUGCAAUCAUCCUAUGCAUUACCCAUUGAGCUAAGGAUUUGAGGUCUUUGGAGAGAGAGAGAGUCUUUAGAAUGGGUUUCUUUGAUAGAGAUUUGCCUCCAAAGUUGAGAAAAUAAAAGAGGCAUGUCAACAAGAUUUUCAAUAAUGGAAAGGUAGCUUCUUUCUUAAAAAUCAAAGAAAAAUAAAAAUUGGGUUCUUGAAAGAUUCUUUUUCUUUCCAAAGAGUCUAAACUCUAUUUCAUAGUAGUCAUUCCCAUCUCCUUGUUUGUUAAUCACUAAGGUGGAAAGAAACUCCUUAGUGAGGUUUUCAAAUCCUAAUUCUAUGGAUUGGUAUAGAAAGAAGUCUUUAAGGCCAAUAUUUUCUAGAAGAGUAUUUACCUCGUGAGAAAUGCUAAGUGUGAUGAGGACAUUUUUAUCAAAAAGCCUAUUUGAUUAGGUCUUUUUUCUCUAUAUUAUCAUAAACUUGAUUUGAGCAUCAUUAUUGACAUCCUUCAUUCUUUCCAUGAUAGAUUCAAAGGAAGAAGAGCCUCUUCCAAUAGUCUUUCUUCGCCCCAUACCAAUUUUUAAAGAAAUUGGAGAGAGUUUGGGAAGAAUUGAAGUAGAGAGGAAGAAUCUUCAAAGCNNNNNNNNNNNNNNNNNNNNNNNNNNNNNNNNNNNNNNNNNNNNNNNNNNNNNNNNNNNNNNNNNNNNNNNNNNNNNNNNNNNNNNNNNNNNNNNNNNNNNNNNNNNNNNNNNGGGGCGGCGGUGAGAAAAUGGUCAAAAUAUGACUAGUCUUUCAUUAAAACACAUUUUGAAUAAGAUUGUAAUGUCUAGUUUUUAUAGAAAUCGAAGAGAAGCAUGGGCACGCCUGAGAAGCAUGAUCGCGCUUUUAAAAAAUUAGUCACAACAGCUAUAAUUUUAGGAAACCGCAAUCAUGCUGUAAAAUCGUGAGCGCAAUUUUAAGGUCAUUUCCAAGCUUUCACAUAGACCUAUAAAGUGCGAGCAUCCCUCCAAAGCGCAAGCGCACUUUUUACACUAUUUAAGCAAAAAAGGAAAAUUGUUUUGAUGACCAUGCAUUAUUUAAUUUGAUCACAUGAUUUAAUAUGUGAGUAUUGGAAUGCACAAAAAUUAAAGGUGAUCUUGUGCCAAGGUAAUUUUAAUACUCAAUUAUGCUAAAUAAUAAGGAUGCGUAAGUAUAAACAUCACAAUGAAAAGCAUACAUAAUUAGCAUAACAUAAAAAUUUAUUUAUGCUAAGGUACUUCCAUUUAUCAUUCCUAGUUCUCUUUUUAUGAAAUUCAAUCUUUCUUUAUUUAGGGGCUUGGUAAAAAUAUUGACUAGUUUCUUAUUUAUGUCAACAUACUCUAGCACUAUACUACCAUUUUGAACAUGAUCUCCUAAAAAAUAAUGUCUAAUAUCUAUGUGCUUACUCUUAGAAUGUUGAACAUGAUUUUAAAAAGGUCUAUAGCACUAGUGUUAUCACACUUAAUAGGAAUGUGAUCAACCUCUCUCCCAUAAUCUCUUAAUUGUUGCUUCAUCCAUAGGAUUUAAGCACAACAAUAUUCUACCACCAUAUAUUCUGCUUCCACGGUGGAGAGAGCAACCGAAACUUGUUUCUUACUAAACUAAGAUACUAAACAUUCUCCUAAAAGAUGACAAGUUCCAAAAGUGCUUUAAUCUAUCUAAUAGACCACCCACAUAAUUGGCAUCUGGAUAACCUAUUAUAUCAAAGGAUGUUUUUCUAGGAUAGCAAAGCCCUAAGUUCAAAGUCCCACACAAAUAUUUUAAAAUUCUUUUUAUAGCAUUCAAAUGAGACUUUUUGGGACAAGAUUGAAAUCUAGCACAAAGACAAACACUAUACAUAAUAUUGGGUCUAGAGGUGGUUAAAUACAAAAUUGAGCCAAUCAUACCUCUAUAGAGAUUUUCAUUCAUGCUCUUAUCCUUCUCAUCCUCAUAGGGGUCUUUCAUCAUCUCGAAUUUGUUUAGGAAUUCUUAUGUACUUGGAUUAGUUGAUGAAGAAAAAAUUUGAGCUCAUCCAUCAUGCUCAUUUUCUAAAUUUCCUAAUCAUACACUUAGCAAAAUCCUCACAAAGUAACUUAUUAGUAGCUCCAAACACAUUGUAUCAUCAUAAAUUUGAACAAUUAGAGUAUCAUGCUUGUGUUUCUUCAUAAAUAAUGUAGUGUCAAUCUUGCCUUUUCGAAAUCCAUUUUCAAUUAAAAAAGAACUAAGCCUUUCAUACCAAGCUGUAGGAGCUUUUUUGAUCCAUACAAGGCUUUAGAUAAUUUGAAAACAUGAUUGGAGGAUUUAUGAUUUUUAAAACCGGGAGGUUGCUCAACAUAGGCUUCCUCCUCAAUAAAAUUAUAUAAAAAAGUACUUUUCACAUCCAUUUGAAAUAAUUUAAAAUUCAUGUGACAUGCAUAAGCUAAAAGCAUCCUAAUAGCUUCGAAUCUAGUAACUGGAGCAAAGGUUUCAUUAUAAUCAAUGCCUUCCUUUUAGUUGUAACCUUUUGCAACCAAUCUAGCUUUGUUUCUAGUGAUAAAACCUUGCUCAUCUAACUUGUUUUUAAACAUCGAUUUAAAUCCUAUAAUUUGGUGAUCCUUGGGUCUAGGAACAAGUUCCCAUACUUUGUUUCUCUCAAAUUGGUUGAGUUCAUCUUGCAUAGCAAUCACCCAACUCUCAUCAAUGGUCCUUAGCUUAAUUUGAGAAACAAAGGCUAGAUUAUUUAAAGCUACUAGUUUAGAACGAGUACUUACAUCUUUUGAUAAGUCUCCAAUGACUUGAGUAGGAGGAUGAUCCUUUUUGAAGUUCCACUAAUUGGGAAGAUUUUGUAAGGUCUCCAACUCUUGAGGAUCUUGAGUUGCAAUUUGAUUUUGUUGGUCUUCUUGAAUUUCCUCUAUAGAUUCGUCUGCUCCUUUUGAGGGAUCAUCAACAUUUACUUUGAGUUCCUCUAGAGCACUUAUAAGAUCAUUUACACAAACACUUCUUCCAAGAUCAAGCUUGUUUGAUUUAUAAAAAAACUAUAUUUAUAGACUCUUCAACUACUAAAGUGUGUUUGUUAAAGACUCUAUAGGCUUUGCUUGAUGUGGAAUAGCCUAGGAAGGUUUCUAUGUCGGUUUUGGUAUUAAAUUUUCCAAGAUUUUCCUUGGUAUUUAAAAUGUAGCAUUUACAUCCAAAAACUCUAAAAUAUGAGACCUUAGGUUUUCUUCCUCUCUAAGGAUCAUAAGAAUUUUUGUCUAGUAAAGUUCUUUUGAAAACUAUAUUUGCAACUUAACAACUAGUGUUACGGCAUCAACUCAAAAGUAAGAAGGAAAUUUAUAUUCAUUGAGCAUUAUCCUAGUCAUUUCCACUAGUGUUCUAUUUUUUCUUUCCACAACUCUAUUUUAUUGUGGUGUUCUAGGAGAUGAAAAAUUAUGAGAAAUUUUAAAUUCUUUACAGAGGUUUUCAAAAAGAUCAUUUUCAAAUUCUUUUCCAUUAUUACUCCUUAUAGAGGAAAUCAAAUACUCUUUUUCAUUUUGAAUACGUUUUGCAAAAGAUUUAAAAAUAUGAAAUGCUUUAUUUUUAUGAGCAAGGAGGUUCGCCCAAGUAAAUCUAGAGUAAUCAUCAACAAUCACAAAUACAUUUGACUUUCCACCCAAACUAGCUACUCUUGUAGGUCCAAACAAAUCCAUAUAUAAUAGCUGAAGUGAUCUAGAAGUACUUACAAUAGUUUUAGACUUAAAGGAUGAUAGAUGUUAUUUUUUCAUUUGACAUAGUUCACUAGGCUUGUCUUUGAUGAACUUCACCUUGAGCAGUCCAUUUACUAGCUCUUCUUUAGCUAGCUUGUAUAGAAGCUCCAUACUUGCAUGUCCUACUCUUCUAUGUCAUAGCCAAAAUUCAUCACUAAUAGACACAAGGCACUUAAAAGAUUGAUUAGCAACUUUAUGUAAGUCAAUUUGUGUAGGUGUUGCCAUUUCUUUCUCCCUUGAAUAUAACUUUGUCAUCCACUAGGGUGUUGAUAAGACAUCCAUUGCAGUCAAAAGUGACUUUGUUUCCUUUAUCGCACAAUUGACUUACACUCAAUAAAUUAUAUUUCAAUCCAUCAACUAGAAAAAUAUCAUCAAUGAAUGAUUUACCAUCCUUACCAAUGGAACUGAUGCUAAUUAACUUACUCUUGACAUCAUCUCCAAAGGUUACUUUGCCUCCGUUAUAGUUCUUGACAUUCACAAAGAGACUCUUGUUAUCCAUCAAUUUGCCUUGAACAUCCACUAUCAACAUGCAAAAAAUUGGUGCUUGUGAAUUUAAGACACACCUACAAAAAAAAGUUAAUUCACUUGAUUUUAGGUACCCAAACUAGGCUGGAUCCUUUAGAGUUAGCAUUAGAAAAUGCAUUCAUGAAAAGAUGCAUCUUCCUUAUUUGGCAUUAUAACAUUGAUAUGUCCAAUUCUCAUGCAACAGUGGCAAGGGACCUUGGAGUUUUUAAGGAAGUUUGAGUUGGUCUUCUUAGCCAAUUUUUCUUGAGGUUUGGACCUCAAAUGAUUGUUUUAACACAUGCAUGAACAAGAUUUGUUAAUAUUUGAGUUUUUUUAUAUGAAUGCAUGCUUUGUUCCCUUUAGCUUAGCCUUUGGAAUAUAUGUACCUUUCUCUUUCUUUUGACUGGAAGGUCUAGUAUAUGUUUUGUCCUUUGAAACUCCAUUUGAGUUUCUCUCAAAUGCUUGUGGUUGAGUGACCUUGACAAAGAUUGUGUUGUGAGAUGAGGAUGACCCAAGUCCAUGUCUCACAAAGGGGAGGUCUUUGAGAUAUAACUAGUAUGUCAAGAGACUCAUUCCCUUUAUGAAACUUUGGAAUUGAGUUCUUAAGUUCCUCAACUUCAUUUUUUAAAGAAUUGUUCUCUUUAAAAACUUUUUCAUUUGAAGUUUCAUCCAAUAAUUUUCUUAAGUCCUCAUUGGAAGUUCUUAAGGAGGUAAUUUCCUUCUUUAAAACUUUAAGGUCUUCUCUUAAACUAGAAUAUUUGUUUUUGUAAAAGUUUAGUUUUGAAAGCAUGUCUUGUAAAAGCUCAUCCUCAUGAUCCAAUUAAUCAUCACUAAGAAAAUAAAAAGAUGAACAAGAAUAAGAAGAAUUGUAUGAAUCAUAAGUAGAAUAUACCUCAUGGAAUUCUUCUAUGUUUCCCAUGAAACAUAGAUUGGGCUGUUCUUCUCUUUCACUUUCAUUAUUGGAAGAUGAGGAUGCAUCAUUCCAAGUAGCUUUCAAGUUAUUCUUUUUUUUCUUUGCCUUCCUUCUUCCUCUUCAAAUAUUUGGGACAAUUCGGCUUGAUUUGUCCUUGCUUUCCACAUUCUUAGUAAGUGACUUCUUCUUUCUUGUCCUUGCUUGUUCUUGAUUUGGAGAAGGAUUUCUUGCUUGUGAAAGGCUUGUUGCUUUUUCUCUUUUUGGCUUCAAGUUAAUACAUUUUUUGUGAUGAGAGCCACAUUAUCACUCUCACUUAGUGCUUCCCCUUGAUCUUUAUCAUCACUUGGAAUAUUGAUUGCUUCUUGAGCUCUUGUGCUAGCUUUUAGUGCUAGGGUUUUCUUCUUCCUACUAUCUCUAUCAAAUUCAUCCUUCAUAAGAGACAUCUCAUUGGUUAGAAGCUUGCCUAUGAGAACAUCCGUAGGAAUUUUCUCUAGGUCUUCAUUUGCUUCUUCAAUACUAGCCACUGUAGCACCAUUUUUUAAUUCAAAGAAAGGCUCCUAAGGAUUUUAAUAUUGAUAUUUACUAGCUUAUAAUGCUCCCUAAGCUUCCUCAUAUUGUUGAUGAUGGUGAGAAGUUUAUUUAUCAUGUCGGUUAUAGACUCGUUUGGCUUCAUCUUGAACAUCUCUUACUCGGUGAGGUACAUUUGGAUCUUCCUUGAUUUAACUUGCUUUGUGCCUUCAUGAUAGUUCUCCAAGAUAGUCCAAAUUUAAUGAGUCGUAGUACAAUGUUGCACUCCCCUACAUUCUUCUCUAGAGAGGCAACUCACAAGUAUACCUAUUGCUUGUAUAUUCCUGUGGUUGUGCUUCUUGUGGGCAUCCACCCAUUCUUCUCUAGGAAGAACUCUUUCUUCACCAUGUUUAAUCUUGGUAGGAGCUUUCUAUUCCUUCACCACAUAGUCCCACACUUCAACGCCAUAGCAAUCCAAGUAGAUUUCCAUGUGAAAUUUCUAAAAAGCAUAGUCGGAUCCGUCAAAGAAUAGCCUGAGGUGUUAGGCUCCUUCAUUAGUUUCCAUGAUAUUUACACUCGCAAUAAAGCUUGAUAAAAGUGAGUUUGCUUUGAUACCACUUAUUAUCCUUUAGAACUAAGAAAUUAGAUUCAAUUGGUGACCUUAAAUUACGGAAUUAAGAAGUUUUGGGUAAAGCACAAGGAUUUAAGAAAGAUUAAGGAUGAUUUAAAGAGAGUAAGGGUUAGAGAAGAUGGUAAACAUGUUUAAUUGGGAAUAAUCCUCCUUACAUCCAUUUCUCAAAAUCAUAAUUGAGUAUUCUAUUAUAAUCUUUAAGAUUAUAAUCUUUGGGUUUUAUAAGUUCACCCAACAACUUGGUGUUUUCAAGGCUAACACUAAACCUCUUCCCUUAAUGAACUAAUCUCUCAAUAAGUCCCUUAACUCUUGAGUACUAAUGGUUACUCAAUAAAUAAUUCUCUAUGUUUUUAAUACCUAGGCUCACACAACAACCCUUCACACUUUUUAGUUGAACUAAGAGUUUCAACUUAAUAUACUUUAGAAAGAAAGAAAAUGAGUAUAGAGAGUUGAGAAAUGAAUUUGGAAGAAUUUUAGUAUACCUAAAUCAUACACUUACUUGUUGAGUCUUUAAGAGGGGUACUUAUACUCAUACCAACCUCUUGGAUAUGUUAUAACGUGUCCAAAACUUAUUAAAUUCAAGAUUGAUGACUUAGAAAAAAAUUGCCUAAAGUCCUGAAAAGCGCCCCUGCACUUUUUAAAAAGAGACGUUGGGCCUCCAAUGGCUCCAGACACGUGGCUCUGAUGGGGUGGCUGAUAUCUCCAUGGUUACUAGCAUCGUAUUAAUGGCAAAAAUUGCCCCCGCACCCUUGUGCUUGCCUUUUCCGUGCUCAGAAGCGCCCUUGUGCUUCUCAUCGCGAUAUCUUCUGCCAUUUUCAGUCUCAAGCUCCAAUAUGAAGCGCCAUCUCGCUUCUUGAAGCUUUGAUACUUUGACUGCCAGGUGUCGCGUUAUAAUUGGAAGAAUUUCAUAUGAACUUUUCAAUGUCUUGUAUAAUUGUGGUCAUAUAAAAAGCGCCCCCAUGCUUUGGAAGUGCCCUCAUACUUUUUGGAUCUUUUCAUAAGACUUCCUUAAAGCUUAAUAAUGCUUGUAUUUGGAUAGGUUCCUUUAAUGCUCUGUCAUAUAGACGCUUAGACAUAGGAUUAACAAUAUUCAAUUAAGAUCAAAAUAGAGAUCAAUUGCCCCUUAGGUCAACAAUGGAGCUUAUCACGAAUAACUUAGACAACUCAAAAUAUCUUGAAAUUAAUUAUAUAGGUCUUACUGGUAUCCUCAAGGAAUGGAAUGUUAAUAAUUUUAGGAAUAUUUUUAGAAACAAAAGAAGAUUAUGGGCGCAUAUUGACGGUAUUCAAAAGAAGCCAGCUUCUUCUUCAUAUCAAAGGCCACUUUAUCUUUAUCAAAAGCUGGGAAGAGAGCUAGAUCUUAUUCUAAAUAGGAGAAGAAAUAUUGGUUUCAUAAGUGUCAUGAGGAGUGGAUUCAUUUCAGAGACAAGAAUAUGAAAUUCUUUCACACUUCUACACUAAUUCAUCAAAAUAAGGGUCAAAUUAUAACACUUAAAGAUGAUAUUGGCGAGUGGGUUUAGGAUCAAGUUCAUUUGCAACAAAUGAAUUUGAAUAUUCUUAUAAAGCUUUACUCUAAUCCUAUUAUAGCCUCGAUUAAGCUUCUGAAGUAGCGGGCUUUGUCGUAGUCGCGAUAGUGGCUGUGAAACCUACUAUCUCCAUUUUUUACUUUUUUUGUGGGCGCUACUUCUUAGUUCGUGGUCACGAUAUUCCCUUUAGAUUUAACAGUCAUAUGAUUAUUUUUAACAGUCGCGACAAGCUGAUAACGGUUGCGAUUUAGGAGGCAGAGUUGAAAUUUAAUCUUUCUAAGAUAUGUACAAAUCCUUCACAGUAUACACUUAAAAACCAAGGUUAAGGACACACAACUUAAUUGUCAAGGUUAAGAUUAAGAGCGCCUUUAUUCAUGAAAGGAAUUAGGCUAACACUAGGGAAAGUCAAGGUCUCGAUUAGGGUUAUGCUCGAUCGAGCCAAAAUCUUAUCUUUCAAAAUUUGAAGGAUCAAAUUGGACCAAGUUGACUGAAAUACUUAGUGUUGGAUCAAAAGUCAGUCAGAUGGCCAAGUUUAUGGGUUAAAAAUUAAUUUUUCUCGAGUUGGCCAACCUCUAGAACCAAUAAGCUUUACAUAUAAGUGAUUAGUUAUACACAGAGCCAAUCAGGUUUGCACAAUGUUGAUUGGCUCAAAGUUUAGUUUUAUGGGCAUUUUCGACGAGUUUUGAAUUUUAAAACAAUUGUAAUUGUCACAAUUGAUUUUCUAAAGAGAUUUUAUCAAUAAUUUUUAAGUUUUAAUCAUUUUGAUAAUUAAAUGGAUUUUUAUCAGUAUUAUCUAAAGUUUUUAAAAGUAAUAUAUUUAUCACUUUGAAAAGAAUUUUGAUAAAAAAAUAAUGGAUUAUUAUUAAUUAUUGAUUGAAUUAUCAAUAAUUAUGGAGUCUUUAUCCUAGUCUUUAGGAUUCCCUUUACUCCUUUAUAAAUAGAAAAGGAAACCUUAAGCUAGGGUUGGCGAAUUUUGGUAGAAAGCGAUUUGUAAGUAUUUGGCAAGAUACACUGAAAUUUUAAAGGCAAACACUAAUCACCUAAAAACACUAUGGAUCCCUGUCCAAUCUUUGGAUUGACCUCUUCCUCUCCUCUUGAGACUCAAGGAUCUGCAUAAUAUGGUUAUAACCUGAGGAUUCUUCUACCCAUCUCAUUAUGUUUCCUCCUUUUAUGAUUAUUGUGCUUUAAUUGUUCACAUGAUUUGUGUCACACCCCCGUUACAUGCUAACCAACAGACAUUAGCCAGGUAGCAUACAAGCGUCGUAGACUAUAUACUACAUGUAGAUAGGUCAAUAUGCAGAUUGUUAAGAAUCAAGACACAAGGUUAUUAACAUAUAAACAUAUGAUUAUACUUAAACAUCAUUUAUUAAGUAUUCAAAACAUCUUCUUAUGCCUUAUAAGGCACACUUCCAUAUACAUCACAUAACUACAUACAAAAUGCAUCAGGAGGAGACUCCACAAAACUGGCCCAACUUGAUAGAACUACUAAAAGCUAGACUUCGCAUACAACCAACAGAUGCACUACUAUUUACAAACCUGAAAAGAAAAAUUUUGGAGAGGGGUGAGCCUCCAGCUCAGUAAAUAAAUAAUCAACAUAAUCUAUAUCACAUACACUUAAUACAAUUUCCACCCAAUCAUAUAACUUACCAUGAUUCAUAAUUUAGGCAUAAAUUCAUAUCAUUCUACUCAAUUCAUUACAACCAUCAUAAAAAAAAAUACAAUUCAGCAAUUAUGGUUAGUUCUCACGGCUUGUGGAUCCCCUUUAAUGUGCUGCUCUGCCUCAUCCUCACCUAUCGCACACGUAAGGUGCUCCGCCUCAUCCUCACAUUAUACACUUUUAUAGCCUCUCUAGGCUUUAGCCUCCCAAGGCUUUAUAUCUAUAUUUUUCACAGGGGAAUCCACCAUUCACAUGCACAUAUGCACUUAACAUCACAAUUCAAUCAUUUCACUUAUAUCAUAUUGAAGCAAUAACAAUUGUUCCACCCAACACCAAUCAUUUCCAUCUCAUUCAUUCAAACAUAACACAAUAUUAAGCAAACACAACCAUUCGUGGAACAUUUAAUUAAAUAUAUGAAUAUAGCAAAUAUUAACUAUUUACUUACUCAAAAUACACUUAUUCCUUCAGCAUAUAAGAACCUCCUUUCUCCAUAACUUCCUUUCCAGGCCUUUGAGUACCUGUCAACACAUUCAUCAAUUCACAUUUCAUGCAUAUUCCAAAUAUUCAUGUAAAUGCUAGUUCUAAUGCAUUACAAGAUCAUCCCCUCUCUAAUUCAUAGGUCUAACUCUUCCUCUAAGACUCUCAAUUAUUGUUUUAAUAUCAUAAAAAUAUUCUCCAUCUAGUUAAAUACUAAUUUAACUCAAAUUAACAUCAAAUAAAUUGCAUAAAACUAAUCUCCAACAUCUCUGUUUUCUAGAUAGAAUUUAGUACCAAGGUAUAUUUAUUUCUGGGCAAAAUUGGCUUAAUACAAAAAUCUCGUAUUAAAUAGAGAUAUCCGUUUAUGCGUUUAGUUUCAUCUCCAAGAAGAAUUACUCAAUUCCGAUUUUUAUAGAUUUAAUUAUCUUCAAAUUACUUAGCAAGGGUCAUACAGCUAGUUGUACCCGAGCAGAAAUCUUUUUGCUCAAUUUAAGCAACCAAAACGGCAAAAAUAGCAAAAUUACAAAACUACAAAGUUAUAGAGGACUCUUCAAAAUUUCCAUAGACACUAAUUAAGCUUAAUUUGGACUUAUAUAACCCAUGUUAUGCCUAAAAUACAGAACAUCAAGGUUGCUGGAAUUUUGACAGUUUUCUAUCUUGACAUACUUAAACUUAAAUCAAGCUUAAUCUCUAUGCAAUCAUUCAAUACUCUACUAAUUCAUGAUAAUCAGACCUUUAAUUAAUCAAUGAGAGCAUCAAUUGAAGUUUUUUCAAUUUUUAAUCAAGAACUCUAAUGACAAAUUAAUAACACUCAAGUAACAACUCACCAAUUUCAGCUUUUGGGUUGCUAAUAUGCUUAAAUCCUUUAGCUUUAGCUUGGCUCCUUCAAUAGUUGGUAAAAUCCUAUCUUAAUCUUAAGUUUUUCUAGGUAUUCCACUCCUCUCUCUUAUUCCAAAUUUUGUGUUUUUGGCCAUGUACGAAUUUUAGAGAAAUGAAGAGGUAAAAUGAGCUUGCUCAUGGUUCCAAUUUCCAAGAUUCAUCUCUCAAUGCCACCACCUACUUAAACUAGUUUUAUCAUCCUAAAUUAAUCCUUACUAACCAUAUAUAGGUACUAACUUUUAAUUGUAUCUUUUAAGUCUAAUCUAUUUACCCAACCUUCAACUAUUGGUUCAAUUAAGUCUUAAGGCUUAAUACAUAUAACCCAAGUACUUAAUCAACUUAUCUAAAUUAAUAAUCUAAUAUCAUGCUUCUUAUUCUCUAUUUAUAAUUAAUAUAUAUCUGUUCUCAUAAAAUAAAAAUAUUAUUGAUAUACCAUCAUAUGCCCAAUGAUUAAAUGUAAAUGCACAUAACAUGGAUGAUGAGAAAAUACAGGCGUUAUAAUUUGGGCUUCUUUUAUAACUUGCUUAGAUCUAGAUCUAAUAUUAUUUAUUAUGAUUCUGGUUACAUGACUCGUGUUUGGAAUAGAUCUGCAUGUUUAGGGUUUAAAUCUGAUAACCUUUUCUAUUAAUUAAUUAGAUUUGUAUGUUUAAGUUGAUUGAUUAAAAUAAUUUGCCAUAAUAUGAUUAGAUAAGUUAAAAUUAUCGUUCUUGAUUAGAUGUGUCUAGAAAAGUUUUAUGUUUCAUGUUUUACCAUCUGAUAAAUCUGCCUAAUUUUGUUUAAUUGCCAUUAUAUUUGGGGUUUAUCAUAUUCUUUUUUUUUUACUUCUUUACGAAUAACAAUCAAUUUAAACAUGAUGUUUGAUUGGAUUUUGCAUUUGUCUUAUUUAGGUAUUGUAUUAUUAGUAAAUUUGCUUGAAAUGUCUGUUUUCACAUGUUUAGGCUUGAAUCCUCUAUUUUAUCAUCUGUUUAUUUAUUUUCUCUAUUUUAAUUGCUCACUAAAUUGGGUUUGUCCUAUUUUUACAUGCAUGAUCAAUGUUUGGGUGAUUUGGGGUGUGAUUUUCGCUGAAAAUUCGAGAAAAUUCCAAAAGUGAUCGUUAUGUACCCCAAGGAGCCACAGAGCCAAUUAUUCAUUCCUCAGUCUAUCCAUUUUCAUCAUUUUCGCCAAAUAUCACCAUAUUUCACCCAUUCUAACUUAUUUGUAUUUAUUAUAAGUCUAGUAGUUGUAAGAAUAUUGUAAUUUUUUUAUUUCUUUUGCUUUCUUUUUGCUAUUUUUUUCUUUAUUUUUGUAUUCUGUGAUAAUUGGUGGAAGAUAUGUGAGUGAUUCAUAUGAUUGCUAACUAAAAUCAAUCCGCAUAGACUAUAAGCUUAAAAAUCUAACUCCUGCAUGCAAGUAGUAGUCCAUUAGGCUAAAAGACGAUAAAUUUAGACUAAACUAAUAAAAUUGGAUUACACAUAGACGGGCUUUGCCAUGCUUAAUUAAAAUUUGGCUCAUCUAGACUAACAAAUACAAAAAGAAGAGAGUAAAUUAUCUUUAGGGUUUACAAUAAUACUUAUGUAUCCAAUUGUUGUCUAAAUUUAAUGACAUAAGUUGUUCCUUACAUGUGCUAUUAAUGAUGUGAAGAUAGAGAAAGAAUAUUCUUAAAAUAUUCAUUUUCAAGUUUAGUAAAGUAUAGUGAAAAUUCAUUGAUAUCGUUAAAAUUAAAGUUUAGUAACACAAUACAAUUUAACAAAAAUAAAAAGAAGAAAGUAGAUUCACCUUAGGAUUUACAAUAAUACUUAUGUAAUCAAUUGUUGGCUAAAUUUAAUGAUUUAAAUUAUUUCAUGCAUGUGUCAUUGAUGAUGUGGAGUUAGAGAAAAAAUAUUCUUAAAAUACUUAUCUUCAAGUUUAGUAAAGAUUCACUAAUGUUAUUAAAAUUAAAAUUUAAUAUUUAUUUAGUUACAAAUUAAAAGUUUGGUAUUUUUUUGUUAUAAAAUAUAAAAGAUGACUGUCUAUAUAAUUUACCUACUAAAUAUGUCGAAAAAUUCACCGACGUUAUUAAAAUAAAAGUUUAGUAACUAUUUAGUUAUAAAUACAAAAUUUGAUAUUUUUUUAUAAUAAAAUAUAAAAUCUAAUGACCAACUAUAUAAUUUACCCGCUAAUCAAUUAACGAGAUUAAAUAUUUAUAAACUUUUUCCAAUAUAAGAGAGUGAAGUAUAUUUCACUAAACCUCAUAACAGUUUUUUAUCCGCACAAAAUAAUGUAACAAAUUCUCUAUCACACUGAUCUCAACGUCCCUUGAUGUAUAUAUUAAGGUUCAGUUAUUUGUUAAAUUAGUGUUUUUGGUUCAAUACUAUUCUAUUUAAUGAAGCUUAAUGCACUGCUCUAAGAAUUAGACUGACCCGAUUUGUUGAAUCAAUCGAUAGUCAAUUUGGUCUAACUGUAUAUAAUAACUGAAUUUGCGGUUAGACUAAUUCCAAUCAGAUUGAAUCGGCUAAACUGAAAUCAAUUAAUUUACAUAUAUUUAAGAAAAAUAGUAAAAAUAAAGAAAAUAAUCAAUUAUAAUAUUGAGACUGAAUAAUUUUGUGUUUGUCCAUUAUAAUUUUUAUAUUAAAAAAAAGGAUAAUAGUCUUUUAAAAAAAUUAUUACUUUUAAUUUAUUUUCUUACAACUUAUACAUGUUAUUUUAUAUUAUUUUACUUAUAGAUUUGAUAAUUAAAAAAAAUAUUAUAACUCAGUAUAUAUAUAUAUAUAUAUAUAUAUAUAUUAUUUAAUUAUUUAGUUUUUAGUGUGAAUUCUAUUAAGUAAAAUUAAAAUUUAAUCAAAUAAAAUACAAUUAAUUUUCAUCAAAUCAACGGUCCAACUAAUUAAAUUAGUGAAUAUCAUCUUGACCGAUUUGCCUCAACGGUCCAAUUUUAAAAAUAUUAAUUUAAUGUAAAUGACGAUGAAACUUGCAAAGGAGAAGUUUUUUCUUCUUUUUUUUUCUGGUACAAUCAAGAGUGAAGUUGAAAGAUAUCCGGAUGAGAUUUUUUAAAGUUGUGAUGACUCAUGUAGCCCUCGUAUAUUUAGACUUUCAUCACAACUAAAUAGAGAAAAAGAAUAUUAUUUACUGUGCUUAUUUUAGCGAAAUAACAUUUUCUCUUUUCUUUUUCUCAAGAAACAUUGUAAAUAUGAGUACUCACAGAUUCAAUAACGGAAUAGACAAAGAAUAUAAUGGCACAACAAUUCAUUUGUUUUAAAUAGAUUAAAUUGUAUUUGGAGCCUAGAAUAAUGUCUCCAAAGUCCUCAAAAACUCUUGAAUUAAUUUCAGUCUACCACUGAAAAAAAAAAAGUGAAAAAGAAAAGGAAUUUUAUUUUUAAAAUUAGAAAAAAUUUAAUUUUAUUUAUGCAUGGAAAUGGAUAGAUAAGGACAAAGAAGGUAUUUUAAAAGGAAAGAAAGUUGAGUUGAAAAAGAAAAAAAAAAAAAGAGAAAAUAUAUAUCAUAUUGUGUUUGAUUGUAUAAAAAUCUUAUUAAAAAGAAAGGAGAAGAAUUAAUUAAUUUUAAUUUUUUUAUUAUAAUACAAAAAUAAAAGGAUAAUUAAUUAUAUUUUAUGAGUUAAAAUUUUUUAAAAUUAGAAUGUAAUCAAUCUCUUUUUUCCUCCAAAAAUAAUUUUUUAUUUACCAAAAUUUGAAUUUUUCAAGGUGUAGUUAAUUGACUUUAUAUAAAUAAAUAAAUAUAUGGACUGACCCAAUUGUCUUCCUUCAACUUUCCUCUUCUUCCUUUGUUUAGUUAUUUACUCAUUCUUUGGUUUGAAUUCCCUCUUUAAAUUUUCUAUAUUUAUAGAAACUAUGGAUCAAAGAGUUUUCGGCAUAAGAAAAAAGCCCACCGGAGCUUUUCAUUUCUUCUUUAUCAGAAUCAAACAAAUAUGGGUUCUCUAGCUUUACCCCUUUCAAAGAUGGGAGCCCUUACUUUGCACCCAACAACAAUGGUGGGAUUUCCAACUUCUACUUCUGUCUCCCUUCAUUUCCAUCCUUCUCCUCAUCCGCAUCGACUGAAGGUACGGUGCCAAAAAACCGAAGCUGACCAGAAGGUAGUCAAGAAGUUGCCUCCGGGGCCGAUGAAGCUUCCUAUUAUUGGAAACCUGCACAACUUGGCAGGUAAGCUGCCUCAUCAUGCUCUCCAAGAACUUGCCAAAGAAUAUGGACCUAUCCUGCACCUGCAACUGGGUGAGGUUUCUACAAUGGUGGUUUCCGAUGGUAAGAUGGCUAAAGAGGUGUUAAAGACGCAUGAUCUUAACUUUGCACAGAGGCCACGACUUCUUGCUGCUGACAUUGUACUAUACGAUGGUAAAGAUAUUGCUUUCUCUCCAUAUGGUGAAUACUAUAAGCAGAUGAAAAAGGUUGGCGCCGAAGAACUCUUAGGGCCUAAGCGGGUGCAAUCGUACUCUUCUCUUCGUGAAGAGGAGGUCCAGAAACUCGUUGAAUCAGUUCGAUUGUCUCUGGGUAAACCGAUCAAUUUUGGUGACAGAAUUUGUCGCUUGACUAAUGUUAUAGUCUUCAAAGCAGCUUUUGGAGAAGAAUGCAAAGAACAGGAUACAGCCAUUGCAGUAUGCGUGACAGCAACAACCCUUGCCGGAGGUUUUCAGAUAGCUGAUGUGUUCCCCUCGUUAACGUUUCUUCAUGACAUCAAUGGUUUUAAAACGAAAGUAAAGGAAGUUGCUAAGGAAAUUGACAGAAUGUUGAGUGACAUCGUUGAGGAACACAGUAAGAAACUGACGAGCAGAGAAAUCAAUAACGAUGGAACAGAGAGAGAAGAUCUAGUUGAUGUUCUCUUGAAGCUUCAAAGAAGUGGCCGCUUUCAGUGUGAAGUAACAACUGACCACAUUAAAGCUGUCAUUUUCGUAAGUUCAGGGGAUGGUACAAUUUAUUAUUAAUCUCCAACAAGCUUUUGUGAAUACUUACUAAAAAAUGUCUUUGCAGGAUUUUUUCAUUGCUGGAACAGAGACGUCUUCGAACACUAUAGAAUGGGCAAUGUCAGAACUGAUGAGAAAUCCAAGAGUCCUGAAGAAAGCACAGGCAGAGGUAAGGGAAGCUUUUAAAGGGAAGAAAACAAUCCGCGACGCUGACGUUAAGGACUUGAAAUACUUGGAAUUAGUAAUAAAAGAGACUUUAAGGCUACAUCCUCCAUUGCCCCUGUUACUUCCAAGAGAAAACAAACAAAGUUGUGCAAUUGGAGGGUACCAAAUACCAGCCAAAACCAGGAUGAUUGUCAAUGCCUAUGCAAUCGGUCGAGAUCCCAAGACCUGGCGUGACGCUGACAAGUUCAUACCUGAGAGAUUCUUGGACGCUGCAGUCGAUUUUAUAGGGAUGGAUUUUGAGUACAUCCCAUUUGGAGGUGGAAGGAGGAUAUGUCCAGGCAUGAAUUUAGGUAUGGCCAACAUGCAGCUACCUUUAGCCCAAUUACUCUACCAUUUUGACUGGAAGCUACCAGAUGGGAUCGCACCAGAAGAUUUAGACAUGACCGAAACUUUUGGAGCCACCAUUACAAGAAAGAAUAAGUUGCACGUGAUCCCCACUCGUUACCAGCCCUUGCAGGGUAACCAACAGAG